Molecule: ribosomal RNA, 622 nt
Filed under: uncultured bacterium
Lineage: Bacteria
Description: bacterial SSU rRNA
Rfam family: Bacterial small subunit ribosomal RNA
Source: RNAcentral
AGUUUGAUCCUGGCUCAGAACGAACGCUGGCGGCGUGUCUUAAGCAUGCAAGUCGAACGAGAACCAUGGUGCUUCAGCUUGCUGAAGCGCCGGGGGACAGUGGCGAACGGGUGAGUAACACGUAGGUGAUCUGCCCCGAAGUGAGGGAUAGCCUAUGGAAACAUAGGGUAAUACCUCAUGUGAUCCGAGGAUUGGAAGCCUCGGAUGAAAGGCGCAAUUGUGUCGCUUUGGGAUGAGCCUGCGGUCCAUUAGUUAGUUGGUGAGGUAAUAGCUCACCAAGGCGAUGAUGGAUAGCCGGCCUGAGAGGGUGAACGGUCACACUGGGACUGAGACACGGCCCAGACUCCUACGGGAGGCAGCAGCUAAGAAUAGUCCGCAAUGGGGGAAACCCUGACGGUGCGACGCCGCGUGGGUGAUGAAGGCCUGACGGUUGUAAAGCCCUUUUCUCAGCGAAGAAUAAGGUGAGGAGUGGAACGCCUCAUCGAUGACGUUAGUUGAGGAAGAAGCCCCGGCCAAUUACGUGCCAGCAGCCGCGGUAACACGUAAGGGGCGAGCGUUGUUCGGAAUUAUUGGGCGUAAAGGGCGCGUAGGCGGUGCAGCAAGCUUGGUGUAAAAGGCUCGG